CGCGUAGGCGGCCUGGUAAGUCAGAUGUGAAAGCCCGGGGCUUAACCCCGGAAGUGCAUUUGAUACUGUCAGGCUUGAGUAUGGGAGAGGGAAGUGGAAUUCCUGGUGUAGAGGUGAAACUCGUAGAUAUCAGGAGGAACACCGGUGGCGAAGGCGACUUCCUGGACCAAUACUGACGCUGAGGCGCGAAGGCGUGGGGAGCAAACAGGAUUAGAUACCCUGGUAGUCC
RNAcentral lists this ribosomal RNA (229 nucleotides) under uncultured bacterium. RNAcentral's name for it is "partial 16S ribosomal RNA". It matches the Rfam family "Bacterial small subunit ribosomal RNA", at positions 568 to 796 of the family's 1533-position model. The record is from RNAcentral.